CCUACGGGAGGCAGCAGUGGGGAAUAUUGGGCAAUGGGCGCAAGCCUGACCCAGCAACGCCGCGUGAAGGAAGAAGGCUUUCGGGUUGUAAACUUCUUUUGUCAGGGAAGAGUAGAAGACGGUACCUGACGAAUAAGCCACGGCUAACUACGUGCCAGCAGCCGCGGUAAUACGGAGGUGGCAAGCGUUGUCCGGAUUUACUGGGUGUAAAGGGCGUGUAGCCGGGUUGACAAGUCAGAUGUGAAAUCCUGUGGCUUAACCGACGAACUGCAGUUGAAACUGUUGAUCUUGAGUAUUGGGAAGGCAGAUGGAAUACCUGGUGUAGCGGUGAAAUGCGUAGAUAUUAGGAGGAACACCAGUGGCGAAGGCGGUCUGCUGGACAGCAACUGACGGUGAGGCGCGAAAGCGUGGGGAGCAAACAGGAUUAGAUACCCGAGUAGUC
RNAcentral lists this ribosomal RNA (442 nucleotides) under uncultured bacterium. RNAcentral's name for it is "partial 16S ribosomal RNA". It matches the Rfam family "Bacterial small subunit ribosomal RNA", at positions 338 to 795 of the family's 1533-position model. The record is from RNAcentral.